AAUUGGAGGGCAAGUCUGGUGCCAGCAGCCGCGGUAAUUCCAGCUCCAAUAGCGUAUAUUAAAGUUGUUGCAGUUAAAAAGCUCGUAGUUGAAUUUCGGGAUCAAUAUUUCGGUCAUGCCGUUGGUAUGCACUGUUAUCAUUGAUUUCUCACCUUCUAAAGAACCGUAAUGCCAUUAAUUUGGUGUUACGGGGAAUUAGGACUGUUACCUUGAAAAAAUUAGAGUGUUUAAAGCAGGCUCACGCUUGAAUACAUUAGCAUGGAAUGAUGAAAUAGGACAUCCGAUUCUAUUUUGUUGGUUUCUAGGAUCGAUGUAAUGAUUAAUAGGGAUAGUUGGGGGCAUUAGUAUUCAAUUGUCAGAGGUGAAAUUCUUGGAUUUAUUGAAGACUAACUACUGCGAAAGCAUUUGCCAAGGAUGUUUUCAUUAAUCAAGAACGAAAGUUAGGGGAUCGAAGACGAUCAGAUACCGUCGUAGUCUUAACCAUAAACUAUGCCGACUAGGGAUCGGAUGAUGUUAAUUUUUUAAUGACUCAUUCGGCGCCUUACGGGAAACCAAAGUGU
RNAcentral lists this ribosomal RNA (560 nucleotides) under uncultured Glomus. RNAcentral describes it as "SSU rRNA". It matches the Rfam family "Eukaryotic small subunit ribosomal RNA", at positions 546 to 1106 of the family's 1831-position model. Lineage: Eukaryota; Fungi; Glomeromycota; Glomeromycetes; Glomerales; Glomeraceae. The record is from RNAcentral.